RNAcentral lists this non-coding RNA (24 nucleotides) under Arabidopsis thaliana (thale cress). Lineage: Eukaryota; Viridiplantae; Streptophyta; Magnoliopsida; Brassicales; Brassicaceae. The record is from RNAcentral.
CUAACAAGCAAUGAUCCUUAGGCC